RNAcentral lists this long non-coding RNA (405 nucleotides) under Medicago truncatula (barrel medic). RNAcentral's name for it is "long non-coding RNA (MTRU_LNC005490)". Lineage: Eukaryota; Viridiplantae; Streptophyta; Magnoliopsida; Fabales; Fabaceae. The record is from RNAcentral.
AAAAAAUUAAGAUUGCACAUAGAUAUUGAAGCAUGAUAUAACAUAAGAUCAAGAAGGCAGGAAAAGAGGCAAGAACAGGCCCCGCCAUCAAUCGGAUAUGUGCUUCACUAACUUGACUAAGAGCAAGGCAUUGAUACUCAAUACCUACCUGCUUAUUGUUGGAAGGGAAGGGGGUUAUUUACGCAGAAGUUCUGGCAAAAACAUAGUUGUGUCCACAUAAUUUCUCAAAUGUAAUAGAUGAUGUCGAAGUUAUGUACCUGGAUUGAGAAUCUUAAUAGGAAGCAAUGUAUUGCAGUGGGAAGCAAUUUAACCUCAAUGCUUAUUUACACCUCAUUUUUUGUCAUGAUCCUACUGGAGUGAAGAGUUGAAAUCCCCACUUUCUUAGAUGGCCAAAAGCACCAUCCA